This is a long non-coding RNA of Scomber japonicus (chub mackerel), 248 nucleotides long. RefSeq lists it as uncharacterized. Lineage: Eukaryota; Metazoa; Chordata; Actinopteri; Scombriformes; Scombridae. The record is from RefSeq and is a predicted model, not a curated record. The transcript is spliced from 3 exons.
AUUGUAAAAGUGAAAAAUGAUUUUAAUCUACAUGAUCCUCACAGCUCUGGUGCCAACAGCAAAAGGUUUGAUGGAAUGUAAUGUAUCUGUAACAACUCAAACUCAUCAGUGUAUUGCAGCACUUGGGAAGCCGUUGGCUUUUCAUCUGCCCACUACUGCAACAACGAUAACAUUGAAAAAAGAUAAGAAUAACAUUUUAAACAUAGUAAAUAAUAAAGUAGCUUUAGAUAAGGGAAACCAAGGUCUCA